Molecule: ribosomal RNA, 484 nt
Filed under: uncultured bacterium
Lineage: Bacteria
Description: partial 16S ribosomal RNA
Rfam family: Bacterial small subunit ribosomal RNA
Source: RNAcentral
AUUGAACGCUGGCGGCAGGCCUAACACAUGCAAGUCGAGCGGAUGAAGGGAGCUUGCUCCUGGAUUCAGCGGCGGACGGGUGAGUAAUGCCUAGGAAUCUGCCUGGUAGUGGGGGAUAACGUCCGGAAACGGGCGCUAAUACCGCAUACGUCCUGAGGGAGAAAGUGGGGGAUCUUCGGACCUCACGCUAUCAGAUGAGCCUAGGUCGGAUUAGCUAGUUGGUGGGGUAAAGGCCUACCAAGGCGACGAUCCGUAACUGGUCUGAGAGGAUGAUCAGUCACACUGGAACUGAGAGACGGUCCAGACUCCAACGGGAGGCAGCAGUGGGGAAUAUUGGACAAUGGGCGAAAGCCUGAUCCAGGCAUGCCGCGUGUGUGAAGAAGGUCUUCGGAUUGUAAAGCACUUUAAGUUGGGAGGAAGGGCAGUAAGUUAAUACCUUGCUGUUUUGACGUUACCGACAGAAUAAGCACCGGCUAACUUCGUG